RNAcentral lists this ribosomal RNA (253 nucleotides) under uncultured bacterium. Its description in RNAcentral is "partial 16S ribosomal RNA". It matches the Rfam family "Bacterial small subunit ribosomal RNA", at positions 524 to 776 of the family's 1533-position model. The record is from RNAcentral.
UACGUAGGGUGCAAGCGUUGUUCGGAAUUACUGGGCGUAAAGGGCUCGUAGGCGGCCAACUAAGUCAGACGUGAAAUCCCUCGGCUUAACCGGGGAACUGCGUCUGAUACUGGAUGGCUUGAGUCCGGGAGAGGGAUGCGGAAUUCCGCGUGUAGCAGUGAAAUGCGUAGAUAUGCGGAGGAACACCGAUGGCGAAGGCAAUCCCCUGGGCCUGCACUGACGCUCAUGCACGAAAGCGUGGGGAGCAAACAGG